This is a long non-coding RNA of Magallana angulata, 483 nucleotides long. RefSeq lists it as uncharacterized. The transcript has 3 exons. Lineage: Eukaryota; Metazoa; Mollusca; Bivalvia; Ostreida; Ostreidae. The record is from RefSeq and is a predicted model, not a curated record.
GAAUAUUCGAAGAAUUUCCAUAACGCAUCUGUCGUAUGGGUGUGAAUCUGCGUCCCAAAAGCGCUCGUCAGACGAUGUAAACACGCGUAGUUGGUAUUCCCGAUGAUGGCGAUCUUUUGAUGAUUUAUCAGAGUAAUUUGAAAAGUGUCACACUGAUUUGAAAAAAAAAGGCUGGAAGAAAAUCUGGUACCUGCUUUGUCUUGAGAUUUACAUAAAUGAUGUUCUUAUUGGUGAUCAUUUACCCGCACCCUUAUCCUGGUGUCAUAUACAAGAUAAAAUGAUGGAAAGAAAAACCUGAACUUUAGAAAGAAGACUGUGUUUUUGAAGAGAGAAGAGGACCAGAACUAAGAAGUCAAACAAUAAACACAUUGACAUCAUAAAAAGAAAUUGCAAUUUUGAGUUUGCAUGCAUAUGUCAGGUUUAAAUGUUGUCACAGAAUUUUUUUUCAGAAAGUCCCUUUAUCUUCUUGAAUUAAUAAAACAA